GCAGACACAUUCCAGCCAAUCAGCAGCAGACCCUCCCUCCCAGACCCUCCCACCUCCUGGACAGCAUCCAUUUUACAUUCAUUGUGAAGCUGCAUUCUUAGUGAGCUGUCCAGGAGGUGGGAGGGUCUGGGAAGGAGGGUCUGCUGCUGAUUGGCUGGAAUGUGUGUG
This 168-nucleotide microRNA precursor is filed under the name Pelobates cultripes (western spadefoot toad). The record is from RNAcentral. Lineage: Eukaryota; Metazoa; Chordata; Amphibia; Anura; Pelobatidae.